RNAcentral lists this ribosomal RNA (497 nucleotides) under uncultured bacterium. Its description in RNAcentral is "partial 16S ribosomal RNA". It matches the Rfam family "Bacterial small subunit ribosomal RNA", at positions 28 to 507 of the family's 1533-position model. The record is from RNAcentral.
GAUGAACGCUGGCGGCGUGCCUAAUACAUGCAAGUCGAGCGAACAGACGAGGAGCUUGCUCCUCUGACGUUAGCGGCGGACGGGUGAGUAACACGUGGAUAACCUACCUAUAAGACUGGGAUAACUUCGGGAAACCGGAGCUAAUACCGGAUAAUAUAUUGAACCGCAUGGUUCAAUAGUGAAAGACGGUUUUGCUGUCACUUAUAGAUGGAUCCGCGCCGCAUUAGCUAGUUGGUAAGGUAACGGCUUACCAAGGCGACGAUGCGUAGCCGACCUGAGAGGGUGAUCGGCCAAACAGGAACUGAGACACGGUCCAGACUCCUACGGGAGGCAGCAGUAGGGAAUCUUCCGCAAUGGGCGAAAGCCUGACGGAGCAACGCCGCGUGAGUGAUGAAGGUCUUCGGAUCGUAAAACUCUGUUAUUAGGGAAGAACAAAUGUGUAAGUAACUAUGCACGUCUUGACGGUACCUAAUCAGAAAGCCACGGCUAACUACGUG